RNAcentral lists this ribosomal RNA (1343 nucleotides) under uncultured bacterium. Its description in RNAcentral is "16S ribosomal RNA". It matches the Rfam family "Bacterial small subunit ribosomal RNA", at positions 28 to 1378 of the family's 1533-position model. The record is from RNAcentral.
GACGAACGCUGGCGGCGUGCUUAACACAUGCAAGUCGAACGGAAAGGCCCUGCUUUUGUGGGGUGCUCGAGUGGCGAACGGGUGAGUAACACGUGAGUAACCUGCCCUUGACUUUGGGAUAACUUCAGGAAACUGGGGCUAAUACCGGAUAGGAGCUCCUGCUGCAUGGUGGGGGUUGGAAAGUUUCGGCGGUUGGGGAUGGACUCGCGGCUUAUCAGCUUGUUGGUGGGGUAGUGGCUUACCAAGGCUUUGACGGGUAGCCGGCCUGAGAGGGUGACCGGCCACAUUGGGACUGAGAUACGGCCCAGACUCCUACGGGAGGCAGCAGUGGGGAAUAUUGCACAAUGGGCGGAAGCCUGAUGCAGCAACGCCGCGUGCGGGAUGACGGCCUUCGGGUUGUAAACCGCUUUCGCCUGUGACGAAGCGUGAAUGACGGUAAUGGGUAAAGAAGCACCGGCUAACUACGUGCCAGCAGCCGCGGUGAUACGUAGGGUGCGAGCGUUGUCCGGAUUUAUUGGGCGUAAAGGGCUCGUAGGUGGUUGAUCGCGUCGGAAGUGUAAUCUUGGGGCUUAACCCUGAGCGUGCUUUCGAUACGGGUUGACUUGAGGAAGGUAGGGGAGAAUGGAAUUCCUGGUGGAGCGGUGGAAUGCGCAGAUAUCAGGAGGAACACCAGUGGCGAAGGCGGUUCUCUGGGCCUUUCCUGACGCUGAGGAGCGAAAGCGUGGGGAGCGAACAGGCUUAGAUACCCUGGUAGUCCACGCUGUAAACGGUGGGUACUAGGUGUGGGGUCCAUUCCACGGGUUCCGUGCCGUAGCUAACGCUUUAAGUACCCCGCCUGGGGAGUACGGCCGCAAGGCUAAAACUCAAAGGAAUUGACGGGGCCCCGCACAAGCGGCGGAGCAUGCGGAUUAAUUCGAUGCAACGCGUAGAACCUUACCUGGGUUUGACAUGGAUCGGGAGCGCUCAGAGAUGGGUGUGCCUCUUUUGGGGUCGGUUCACAGGUGGUGCAUGGCUGUCGUCAGCUCGUGUCGUGAGAUGUUGGGUUAAGUCCCGCGACGAGCGCAACCCUUGUUCACUGUUGCCAGCACGUUAUGGUGGGGACUCAGUGGAGACCGCCGGGGUCAACUCGGAGGAAGGUGGGGAUGACGUCAAGUCAUCAUGCCCCUUAUGUCCAGGGCUUCACGCAUGCUACAAUGGCUGGUACAGAGAGUGGCGAGCCUGUGAGGGUGAGCGAAUCUCGGAAAGCCGGUCUCAGUUCGGAUUGGGGUCUGCAACUCGACCUCAUGAAGUCGGAGUCGCUAGUAAUCGCAGAUCAGCAACGCUGCGGUGAAUACGUUCCCGGG